This 2867-nucleotide small RNA is filed under the name Pongo abelii (Sumatran orangutan). RNAcentral describes it as "retained intron". The record is from RNAcentral. Lineage: Eukaryota; Metazoa; Chordata; Mammalia; Primates; Hominidae.
GAUUGACUUGCUGGGAUCUGAGUGACUAGCUGGAUACUUCUGUGUCAUCUGAGAGGAUGACUGUGGGGGCUGUGUGGCUGAGCUGUGUCUUUCUGGCUCUGUGUCGGCCCUUGUACCAUCUCUCCCCGCCUGCCCCUGCUCUGUGCUGUGUAUCUAACCUACCUGUUCCUUUGUCCAUCCCAUCAUGUCUCUGCAAAUGUCCAGAUUCCUCCAGCUUGUCCUUACCCCAGUCCAGGGGCCCACAGAGUGAGCAUGUGGACUCCGGCCCAGUGUGUGUAUGGUAGGAGAGGGCGGAAGAGCCCCACUGUCUCCCCCUGGUCAUUCCUGAUCCAGCUGUACCCCCCCUUCUUACCCCUUCCUUCCCCAGAGGACCACAAGCUGGUGUUCCUACAACAGGGCCCACUGUUGCUCGUGGCCAUGUCACGGACUUCUCAGUCAGCAGCCCAGCUGCGGGGGGAGCUGCUAGCUGUGCACGCACAGAUCGUGAGCACACUUACACGUGCAAGUGUCGCCCGCAUCUUCGCACACAAGCAGAACUAUGACCUCCGCCGCCUGCUGGCUGGCUCAGAGCGCACACUGGACCGACUUCUGGACAGUAUGGAGCAGGACCCAGGAGCCCUUCUCCUGGGUGCCGUGCGCUGUGUGCCCCUUGCCCGCCCGCUGCGAGACGCACUGGGUGCGCUCCUCCGACGUUGCACAGCGCCUGGUCUGGCGCUGUCAGUGCUGGCAGUAGGCGGUCGACUGAUAACAGCAGCCCAGGAGCGGAAUGUGCUGGCCGAGUGCCGGCUGGACCCAGCUGACCUGCAGUUGCUGCUCGACUGGGUGGGUGCACCAGCCUUUGCGGCGGGUGAGGCUUGGGCACCUGUGUGCCUGCCCCGCUUCAACCCUGAUGGUUUUUUCUAUGCCUACGUGGCCCGCCUGGAUGCUAUGCCCGUCUGCUUGCUGCUGCUUGGCACCCAACGUGAAGCCUUCCAUGCCAUGGCCGCCUGCCGGCGCCUGGUCGAAGAUGGGAUGCAUGCCCUCGGUGCCAUGCGUGCCCUUGGGGAGGCUGCCAGCUUCUCUAAUGCCUCAUCAGCCAGUGCUCCUGCCUACAGUGUGCAGGCUGUGGGGGCGCCGGGCCUCCGGCACUUCCUGUAUAAGCCGCUGGACAUACCUGACCACCACCGCCAACUGCCCCAGUUUACCAGCCCUGAGCUAGAGGCCCCCUACAGCAGAGAGGAGGAGCGGCAGCGGCUAUCGGACCUGUACCACCGCCUGCAUGCUCGUCUCCACAGCACCUCCCGACCCCUGCGCCUCAUUUACCACGUGGCUGAGAAGGAGACACUACUGGCCUGGGUGACCUCCAAAUUCGAGCUCUAUACCUGCCUCAGCCCUCUGGUGACCAAGGCAGGUGCAAUCUUGGUAGUGACCAAACUCCUGCGCUGGGUGAAGAAAGAGGAGGACCGGCUCUUCAUUCGUUACCCACCCAAGUACUCCACACCACCAGCCACCUCUACGGACCAAGCUGCCCAUAAUGGCUUGUUCACUGGACUCUGAUAGUUGGAGCUCCCAGACCAGGCAGUGCUGGGAGCAACCACCUUUGUUUUUUACCUUCUGUCUACCCUGGAAAUGUGUGUGGUGGUGUGUCCAUGGCCAGUCAUUGUCUCCCUAAGCAAUGGGGCAAGGUCUGAGGGCCUGCCGAUGAGAGAGAUGGUGGCAGCCGCCAGGCAAGCAGGCUGCUUUCCCUGCCCGGUCAUGCACCUCCUACUCUGGGGAAAUCCUUAGGCCUCCCUCUCCCUUCCCUCUGUCUCAUCUCCUCCACUUGGAUGAUGCUCUAGCGUCUGUCAGGGACUGUCCCCUCCAAACUUGCUUCCGUGGUCUGCCUCCUAGUUGAAUCUCAGCCUUGAGUGUCCAGAUCUGGCCAAGGUGUCUAGGGUGGCCCACAGGGGUGCUGGAAUUGGCACUUCAGGGCCAGGCUAUGCUUGGAACUGGCCUGAGGGUAUUUUAAAGAAAAAAACUACAUAAAAGGCCUAAAAGUAAGACCCACAAGGAUAUUCCUUUGCCCUUCUUGUACUUUUCUUCAUCUUUACCCUGCCAGAAAUGACUCCCCACUCAAUGCUGGCUGCUGCUAACAUUAAUGAGAAGGUGGCCUCCAGUGUCCACCUGUGGAACCCAGGACACAGCACCUGACUGCACACAGUGGCUGAAAUCCAGCAUUUUUACAUAGGAGAUGCACUUAGCCUCUAAGCCUCAUUUUACUCCUCUGUGAAACAGAGAUAAGUAACCCUCUUUCAUGAACUCUUUGAUGAAGAUUUGUAAACGAAAACAGACUCGAACUAUUGUGUACCACCACAUAGCACAUGCACAUCUGUCCCAGACUUUGACAACCUGCACAAGACAAGCAGCCUAAAGCAGGAGAGACCUCCCUAGGGUUUUGUAUGUGUGCACACUACCCUCACUCCCCAACUGGCCAUUACCCUAGUUCUGCCCUUGUUUGUGGAGUUACAGCCUCAAGGCUGCAGCAUGUGUGCUGGCAAUCAGGGCCGCAGUGUGUUCCGCGCCUGCCCAGAGCUGACUCCUGAUUCAACCAAUGGCGUAACCGCGGGUUGCACGCCUGCGCGCUGAAAAGCCUUUCACCCUCACGUGGUUUCUUUUUUAACCAGUCAUCAAGCAAGGCUCGCGCGCAGGCUCUGCGUCGGAAAAUGGCGGGGAAGCUGAAACCUCUGAAUGUGGAGGCGCCAGAAGCCGCUGAGGAGGCUGAAGGUAUUGAGGGCAAGUGGGCUGCACUCCUUUCUCUCCAACCAGGGCAGAAAGGAGGGAGGAUUCGUCCCAUUACAAUAAUGAAAUAAUGAUACUCUAAUUUUUUUUAAAUAAAGUGUUAAGCCUUU